This 311-nucleotide ribosomal RNA is filed under the name uncultured eukaryote. RNAcentral describes it as "partial 18S ribosomal RNA". It matches the Rfam family "Eukaryotic small subunit ribosomal RNA", at positions 1470 to 1796 of the family's 1831-position model. The record is from RNAcentral.
CCCCUAGACGUUCUGGGCUGCACGCGCGCUACAAUAAUACGCACAGCGAGUAUCACCGAGCUCGAAAGGGCAAGGUAAACAAUAGAAAAGGUACUGUAAUGGUUAUAGAUCCUUGUAAUUAUUGAUCUUCAACGAGGAAUUCCUAGUAAGUAUGUGUCAUCAUCACGCACUGAUUACGUCCCUGCCCUUUGUACACACCGCCCGUCGCUCCUACCGAUUGGGUGAGCCGAUGAAACUCUCGGAUGUAGGCUAUUCAUAGCCCGCAGAAGAGAGUUGAAUCGUAGCGCUUAGAGGAAGGAGAAGUCGUAACA